This 272-nucleotide ribosomal RNA is filed under the name uncultured prokaryote. RNAcentral's name for it is "partial 16S ribosomal RNA". It matches the Rfam family "Bacterial small subunit ribosomal RNA", at positions 355 to 641 of the family's 1533-position model. The record is from RNAcentral.
UGGGGGAUAUCGUACAAUGGGCGAAAGCCUGAUGCAGCAACGCCGCGUGAGGGAAGACGGUCUUCGGAUUGUAAACCUUUAGCUUUGGGGAAGAAACAAAUGACGGUACCCAAAGGGGCAGCCACGGCUAACUACGUGCCAGCAGCCGCGGUAAUACGUAGGUGGCAAGCGUUGUCCGGAAUUACUGGGUGUAAAGGGAGCGCAGGCGGGGAGACAAGUCAGCUGUGAAAACUAUGGGCUUAACCCAUAGAUUGCAGUUGAAACUGUUUGUC